This 424-nucleotide ribosomal RNA is filed under the name uncultured bacterium. RNAcentral's name for it is "partial 16S ribosomal RNA". It matches the Rfam family "Bacterial small subunit ribosomal RNA", at positions 360 to 776 of the family's 1533-position model. The record is from RNAcentral.
AAUAUUGGACAAUGGGCGAAAGCCUGAUCCAGCCAUGCCGCGCGUGUGAAGAAGGUCUUCGGUUUNUCAAGCACUUUAAGUUGGGANGAAGCGCAGUAAGUUAAUACCUUGCUGUUUUGACGUUACCGACAUAAUAAGCACCUGCUAACUUCGUUCCAGCAGCCGCGGUAAUACGAAGGGUGCAAGCGUUAAUCGGAAUUACUGGGCGUAAAGCGCGCGUAGGUGGUUUGUUAAGUUGGAAGUGAAAGCCCCGGGCUUAACCUGGGAAUUGCUUUCAAAACUGACGAGCUAGAGUACGGUAGAGGGUAGUGGAAUUUCCUGUGUAGCGGUGAAAUGCGUAGAUAUAGGAAGGAACAUCAGUGGCGAAGGCGACUACCUGGACUGAUACUGACACUGAGGUGCGAAAGCGUGGGGAGCAAACAGG